Molecule: ribosomal RNA, 447 nt
Filed under: uncultured bacterium
Lineage: Bacteria
Description: bacterial SSU rRNA
Rfam family: Bacterial small subunit ribosomal RNA
Source: RNAcentral
CCAGACUCCUACGGGAGGCAGCAGUGGGGAAUAUUGCACAAUGGGCGAAAGCCUGAUGCAGCAACGCCGCGUGAAGGAAGACGGUUUUCGGAUUGUAAACUUCUAUCAAUAGGGAAGAAAGAAAUGACGGUACCUAAAUAAGAAGCCCCGGCUAACUACGUGCCAGCAGCCGCGGUAAUACGUAGGGGGCAAGCGUUAUCCGGAAUUACUGGGUGUAAAGGGAGCGUAGACGGUGAUGUAAGUCUGGAGUGAAAGGCGGGGGCCCAACCCCCGGACUGCUCUGGAAACUAUGUGACUGGAGUGCAGGAGAGGUGAGCGGAAUUCCUAGUGUAGCGGUGAAAUGCGUAGAUAUCAGGAGGAACACCGGUGGCGAAGGCGGCCUGCUGGACUGCAACUGACGUUGAGGCCCGAAAGCGUGGGGAGCAAACAGGAUUAGAUCCCCCAGUA